RNAcentral lists this ribosomal RNA (514 nucleotides) under uncultured bacterium. Its description in RNAcentral is "partial 16S ribosomal RNA". It matches the Rfam family "Bacterial small subunit ribosomal RNA", at positions 28 to 523 of the family's 1533-position model. The record is from RNAcentral.
GAUGAACGCUGGCGGCGUGCCUAAUACAUGUAAGUCGAGCGAACAGAUGAGAAGCUUGCUUCUCUGAUGUUAGCGGCGGACGGGUGAGUAACACGUGGGUAACCUACCUAUAAGACUGGGAUAACUCCGGGAAACCGGGGCUAAUACCGGAUAAUAUUUUGAACCGCAUGGUUCAAUAGUGAAAGACGGUUUCGGCUGUCACUUAUAGACGGACCCGCGCCGUAUUAGCUAGUUGGUAAGGUAACGGCUUACCAAGGCGACGAUACGUAGCCGACCUGAGAGGGUGAUCGGCCACACGGGAACUGAGACACGGUCCAGACUCCUACGGGAGGCAGCAGUAGGGAAUGUUCCGCAAUGGGCGAAAGCCUGACGGAGCAACGCCGCGUGAGUGAUGAAGGUCUUCGGAUCGUAAAACUCUGUUGUUAGGGAAGAACAAAUUUGUUAGUAACUGAACAAGUCUUGACGGUACCUAACCAGAAAGCCACGGCUAACUACGUGCCAGCCGCCGCCGUAA